AAAUUAUGUAAGCUAUUAAAUUAUUUUUUUUUUGUUGCUCUACCUAUAUAAUUUACCUCAAAUUUAAUUUUUGUAGGAAGUCUUAUUGGAUUUAAUCACUUGAAAUUUUGAAGUGUGAAUUCAUGGGUAAACAAGAAAAAUUAGAUUUUUUUUAAAAAAAAAAGAAAAGAAGCUCCUGAAUCGAUGAAUAUUGAGGAACAACAUUCUUCAAAAUCUCUUA
This 220-nucleotide long non-coding RNA is filed under the name Elaeis guineensis (African oil palm). Its description in RNAcentral is "long non-coding RNA (EGUI_LNC020717)". Lineage: Eukaryota; Viridiplantae; Streptophyta; Magnoliopsida; Arecales; Arecaceae. The record is from RNAcentral.